This 384-nucleotide ribosomal RNA is filed under the name Triticum aestivum (bread wheat). RNAcentral's name for it is "partial small subunit ribosomal RNA". Lineage: Eukaryota; Viridiplantae; Streptophyta; Magnoliopsida; Poales; Poaceae. The record is from RNAcentral.
UUUUUCACUUGCCCUAUUGCUAGGGUGGUGUGGCGCUGUGUGGGGAUAGUUCUGGGCAUAGAUAGAUGUCCCAGCAACCAAUGGCAAUAUUAUGCUUGGUGCUACUCUUUUCUCCCUGCUGGAACAAAGUUCUAUAUUGUUGGUCUUACUGUGGCUUGUUGGUCCAUUUGGCUGGCCCGAAACCGAGCUACAUUUGAAAAGAAGCAAAUCAAAACUCCAUUUGAGAUUGUUUUUUCUAUAUGCUCGUUUCUCUUAUAUUGGACAGGGCUACAGCAAGAAGAAGAUGGCAAGGAGCUUCGCGCGGGGGCUGAGAUGCUCAGGUCAAACACGAUGCAGAUGAUGAAGAUGUGCGCAGCAAUCAGGCGUCCGAUUGCAGGAGAAUAG